Molecule: long non-coding RNA, 796 nt
Filed under: Populus tremula
Lineage: Eukaryota; Viridiplantae; Streptophyta; Magnoliopsida; Malpighiales; Salicaceae
Description: long non-coding RNA (PTRE_LNC000076)
Source: RNAcentral
UUUUCGAAGAAGUGAAGAACAAUGAAGGGCCUCAAGUUCCAACCAUUGAUUUGAUGGAAAUUGAAUCAGAGGACAGAGUGGUCCGGGAGAAAUGCCGGGAAGAAAUAGUCAAGGCAGCUAAAGAGUGGGGUGUUAUGCACCUUGUCAACCAUGGAAUUCCUGAUGAUUUAAUCGAUCGUGUCAGGAAAGCUGGCCAGGCUUUCUUUGAUCUCCCGAUUGAGGAAAAAGAGAAGUAUGCUAAUGAUCAGGCUUCAGGAAAUGUUCAAGGGUAUGGAAGCAAGCUAGCUAACAAUGCCAGCGGGCAGCUUGAGUGGGAGGACUAUUUUUUCCAUCUCAUUUUCCCCGAGGACAAGCGUGACAUCUCCGUAUGGCCCAAGACACCUAGUGAUUAUACGUAAGGUUUUUUUUUUUUUUUUUAAAGGCUAUUUAGCAUUAAGGUUCAACCUGUUUUUAAAAAAGUUUAAACUUUCUUUUAAAAAAAAUACAUUAUUGACAUGCUUUUCGACACAAAAAACUAUUUGAAGAGUGGGGUGUUAUGCACCUUGUCAACCAUGGAAUUCCUGAUGAUUUAAUCGAUCGUGUCAGGAAAGCUGGCCAGGCUUUCUUUGAUCUCCCGAUUGAGGAAAAAGAGAAGUAUGCUAAUGAUCAGGCUUCAGGAAAUGUUCAAGGGUAUGGAAGCAAGCUAGCUAACAAUGCCAGCGGGCAGCUUGAGUGGGAGGACUAUUUUUUCCAUCUCAUUUUCCCCGAGGACAAGCGUGACAUCUCCAUAUGGCCCAAGACACCUAGUGAUUAUACG